Molecule: transfer RNA, 96 nt
Filed under: Metarhizium robertsii
Lineage: Eukaryota; Fungi; Ascomycota; Sordariomycetes; Hypocreales; Clavicipitaceae
Also listed under: 1 other name
Description: tRNA-Ala
Rfam family: tRNA
About the family: Transfer RNA (tRNA) molecules are approximately 80 nucleotides in length. Their secondary structure includes four short double-helical elements and three loops (D, anti-codon, and T loops). Further hydrogen bonds mediate the characteristic L-shaped molecular structure. tRNAs have two regions of fundamental functional importance: the anti-codon, which is responsible for specific mRNA codon recognition, and the 3' end, to which the tRNAs corresponding amino acid is attached (by aminoacyl-tRNA synthetases). tRNAs cope with the degeneracy of the genetic code in two manners: having more than one tRNA (with a specific anti-codon) for a particular amino acid; and 'wobble' base-pairing, i.e. permitting non-standard base-pairing at the 3rd anti-codon position.
Source: RNAcentral
GGGCGGAUGGUUUAGUGGUAUAAUACUCCCUUAGCAAGUUUCCGUUUACGGAUUCGUGAUUGGGAGUGGUCCGGGGUUCGAUUCCCCGUUCGUCCA